Dromiciops gliroides (monito del monte) is the source of this 2858-nucleotide RNA transcript. It is a transcript of the gene named chromosome 1 C5orf52 homolog, with no coding region annotated. NCBI's taxonomy places the organism in Eukaryota, Metazoa, Chordata, Mammalia, Microbiotheria, Microbiotheriidae. The transcript has 2 exons. The record is from RefSeq and is a predicted model, not a curated record.
UUGAACUCAGAUCUUCCUGCCCAGCACGCUUGCUGCCACACCUCCUAGCUGCCUCAGUUUUCUCAUCUGUAAAAGGGAGAUAGUAACAGUACCUAGCCCUCACAAAAUGCUUUACAAACCUUAAUGUGUAAGUGGUUACUAAGACAUUAGGACAGAAUCUUAUCGAUCACUUGGUCCAACCCCGUUGUUUUAUUCCUUAUGCUUGUCGCCAUGUGUGUUUAUGGCUGGUCUCAGCCAAGAGGCUGAACAGUGAUGCGUCCUUUAUUUUUACGUUGCCUUUAUUUCUGCCCAUGUUCCUCCCUGUCCACUCCUCAGUAAGCCAUUCUUUGGAGCAAAGAAGAAAAAAGAAAUAAGGCAGUCUGGCCAAACCAGCCUGUCUCCAGUGUGUGCCUACGCCACAUUCCCCACCUGCAGCCCCCAUCUCUGCACCAAGAAGAGGGAGGUGCAUUUCCUGAACUUUUGUCUGGGGUGAAGCUUGGAACUGGGACCCCGGACCUGUCUUAGAGUGGCUGCUUGACUGCAAAAGCUUGUGAGUAGACAAUGCAUUGGUGACUUGAAGAAAUGAUGGGUAGGAGACAUUUCUUUCCCAGGGCAAGCCUGCUGUUUCAAGGAAGGGCAACAAGAAUGUAGAGUUAUCCAUCAUCCAUCAAUACUCGACCUUUUCCAGAACCCUCCCCCCCAUGUCGGCUCCUUCCUGCUGCAGAGGCCUGUGGUGGUCUUCCCUCUGAGUUGAUCUUCUGUCUUCCCAAAGGCCGGACAAAUGCAGCCUGCUCUACCUGGGGGAGGAGAGGUUUCUGCAUGGCAGGUAACCAUGCCUGAUCAGUGACGCCAGUUCUUCCUCAGUCACUCCCUCACAGGCCUGGUCACUGGGCACCCGCUGCCCGGCUUGUCUUACUUGACUCUGCAUGGGCCGGCAGAAACCUUCAUUGCCUUCGGCAACUUCUCUUUGGCACAUCCACAUUCCCUAACAUGCACCUCCUCCACACAACUGAUUCCCACCGUUCCCCAAAUGACGGGUGGCUUUGUUUCCAGGUCUUGGCACAAAGCACCCUGCUCUGCAGGCCAGGUGUAGGUUUUUUCUGUCUUUGUUCCUUUUCCUUCAUGUAUAAUGUGGGUAUGAACGCGUGGGUGAUUUUUUUUUAAACAAUUCCAAACUGUUUCCCAGAAAUGGUGGCCCAAACUCUUGCUUUAAGGGAAGGGAAACUCAGGGAGGUGCCCAAGGUCACCCACCUGGUCAGCACCAGAGUGGGCAUCAGACUGGCACUCCCGUCUCAUUGGGCGACCUCUCAACACUACCCAGGAGGAGCCAAAUGAGAGCCAGGGCGCUCAGGGAAGCUUCCCAGAAGAGCUGGGAUCAAGGACACACACAUUUCUGGGAUGCCAACCCUGCCAGGACCUGUUGCUUUGAUGCAGGGUCACAUGUCCUCCUCACUUGGCCAGGCUGAUGAUGGAUGACAACCCCAGAGCCACCCUGAGUGGGGCAUUCCUCCUGGCAUGGCAGCAUGGCCUCCCGGGAGGGGGCGCUCACCACUCCUCUCUGGGGUGACUGUCCAGGUGGCUAACCCUUCUUCCCCAAAGCAGCCUUGGAGCCUUAGAGGGAGCUCCCAUGCCUUCCCCUCCUCUUCUCCAAACCAAACACGCUCGCCUAGCAGGAAUGGGAAUCCUUCCACCAUCCUGGCUGCCUCCUCUGGAGGAGUCCACGUCCUUCCAAAAAGCCGGUUCCCAGAACAGACUGUGAGAACCGGCCUGGCCGGGGUACAGGAGAACAGCGCAGAACAAGUAUUUCAGCACUGCACGGUGGCUACAGCGGUCAAAACAAAAGCUGCCAGUCCCGCUCUCAAAGAGUUUAUGUUCUACCUCUUCCUGAACCUAAGCCACAUUUUGAAGCCAAAAAUCCCAUUGUGUUCUCUGGCUGCCAUAGCGGAUGGUAGAUGCACGAGGAACUUGUGGCCCACUGAUAACUCCAGGUCUUUUUCAGAUAAAUGGCUCCCCGGCCACACCUCCUUCAUCUCAGACCUUAGUGGCUAUUUUGAAUGGAGAGGUAACCCUUCACAACAGUCCUCAUUAAAGACCUGUCAGGCUCUUCCCCAGGCUCUCCCUUCAUAUCCGCCACCUCGUACAGAGGCCAGAUGGUCCUCUUCAAAUGCCUUCUUCCUGCCACACUGGCUGUUCCAAAAGCUACGCUGGAUCCUGUUCAUCUUCAGCCUUGAACUCAAACUCCUCAGGGGCUCGGUCAAUGCAGAUGCUGAGACUUCCAGGGUGGGUGGCCAGGCGUGGGCCGGCCAGGACACUGCUGGGGCUGCCCGAUGCUUUGUGGAGGGUGGAGAGCACGUGCCCAGCGUGGAUGGCGGGGGGGGGGGCACGACAAGAGCCUUCCUGCCUGGCAGAGAUGACCCCACCAGGCCAGCGUCCCCCUCCUGGAAGCUUCUCCCUGUUGGCCCAUUCCACAGACCUCUGUUCCGCUGCUCACCUCCCAUACUUGUGACUGUCCCCAGGGAGGAGCCUCUCAUUGGGGCAGCAGUGAGCCUGUGAGCACAGGGCAUCUCAUCACCAGGGGAGCACAAGGAGGAGGUGGGGGCUGCGAUCAGCUGCAGCGGAGGGAGUCUCUGGGGAGAAGCUCCCCAGAGUAGGCUAGGGCAAGCGCCAGACUGACCCAGACCAGCACCAAGAAGCCAGACGGACCUCUGGGCACUCCUGCCAGUGUUCCAGAACUAGACAAUCCAAGAUGGCUAAGUCCCCCCCACCCCGCAUCACGGAGGCCAAUGAGUAUAGUCCUUCAUAAGAGGAAACUGAGGCAGGGAGGGAAGCGACUCCUAGAGCUCACAAAGGAAGUCAGGACAAGAGCAGCAGACAAGACC